GGUAGGUUACCCAAGUGGCCAACGGGGGCAGACUGUAAAUCUGCUAGCUUUGCUUUCCCUAGUUCGAAUCUAGGACCUACCACCA
RNAcentral lists this transfer RNA (85 nucleotides) under Victivallales bacterium. Its description in RNAcentral is "tRNA-Tyr". It matches the Rfam family "tRNA". From Rfam's summary of the family: Transfer RNA (tRNA) molecules are approximately 80 nucleotides in length. Their secondary structure includes four short double-helical elements and three loops (D, anti-codon, and T loops). The record is from RNAcentral. Lineage: Bacteria; Pseudomonadati; Lentisphaerota; Lentisphaeria; Victivallales.